Oreochromis aureus is the source of this 6539-nucleotide long non-coding RNA. RefSeq lists it as uncharacterized. Lineage: Eukaryota; Metazoa; Chordata; Actinopteri; Cichliformes; Cichlidae. The record is from RefSeq and is a predicted model, not a curated record. The transcript has 3 exons.
GGGCAUGAGGCAGCUACACACAAACUCUCAGCUCUCCACCUCUUUCUUAUCUAGCGACCGUACAGCUUUCAGGUUUCCCCACACUCUCGUCGCUGCGAGUGCGUGCAAGGUGCUGCUGCACGCACUGCAGGUCGCCGGGCCGGCGGAUGGUCCACGGCUUCCUUCUGUGUGGCAAGGCAGUCCAAAAGAGAAUCUCAAAAAGGACAUUUAUCACUGCGGGGAAAUGAACAGAUCUGCUCUACUGCAUGUACAACCAGACUGACUGGGCUGAAUCUAUGAUCUGAUCUGGGUAGCUUCCUCUCCAUCGAGUUGUCUGGGUUCCAGUGACAACUUGUGGAUUCCAAAAGAGCCUUCUGCAAAGCUAACAUAAUCAUGCAGAUCAGCAGCUGCCAAAUGCUUGAUGGAAAUGUACAUCUUCAACUGAACAGUUGAUGCAUUUCUGAGGUCACAUGGGAAAUUAGGCCAGGGUCUCGACGCAAUAAGUGCAACAGCACGAUCCGUGGGAUGGUCAAGAGUUACUGGGAAGCAGAACUUAAGGAUCUAAAGAGAAUAUCAGGAUGCAGCAUAUUUUCCUUAUGCGCAAGUACAGGACUGUUUAGGGAUUUAAACACAAACCGUGUCACUAGAUACUGGACCAGCGAAGAAGUGAUGAUUCACUACCAAUAAAGGUAUGUAUACAUUUCUAGAACUAAUAGAUUUAGAAAGUUUAGCUUUAAGAUGGCUCUGGAAUAACAGAGAGACUCUUUAAAUCUCUCUUGAUCUCUUGAAAUUUAACAAACAAAUAAAUUACAUGGUCAAAAGUUCUCAUGCUUUCAGGUGGAAGUGGAGGGCCAUACAAUAUAACUUCUGUCUAGCUGUUUCUAACUGUAGGAAACUGUAGUACAAUUUUUAUAUGCAAGAUAUGCUUAUUGAGCUUUGAACAGAGGAGUGGUUUCCAAGAUUCAAAGGUAAGAAUAUGCUGUGUUGAAACUAAUCUAAAGCCAAAACAGGACAAAAUGCAAUAAUGAUUUGGAUAUGGCGAUAACAUUAUACUCUUCCAGGAAGUCCUUCCUGGAAUUAAUCACCAUUAUAGCUCAAAAUUACACUCCAAAUUCUGAAAUCAUGAAGCGUUUUCCUUGGGACAUACUGAAGGAGUGUGACGUUUUUGACUCACUGGCCAAAAAAAUAAAAUAAUACAAAACAAAUGUCAUCAAUCGAGCACACUUUUAGUGAUGAAAAUACAUGUUUUAUGUCACUUAUACAUUAGCUUUAUUAAGAAUCGUUGAGGUAAUAUGGAAUCAUGUUGAAUUCAAAACUAAAAGUCUGAGUUUUAAGAAACGCAUUUCAACAAACCGAUCAGCAGUUCAUGAUGAGUGGAUGCUGGUGUUUUCUAUGUCAGGGACAUUCAUAAUAAUCACAGUGAACACAGGAAUUUAGUGGAAGUGAUGCUGAUGUCAUGCAAAUAUGGUGCCAUUUGUUUAUAACAAGACAGCAUUGUACCUGGUUUUGGGGGAAAAACGCAAUAAAGCACUUGAAUGUGUGUCACACUCAGGAAAGUUGAAAACCCAGAAUUUAGACAAGCUUAUCUCUUGUUAUGUGAACAGCCUUCCUGUCAGAUGAUCACAAUGGACAAAUUUCAAUGCUUAUGGGUGUCAGUAUAUUGCCUAACAGUAAUUAUGACAGCCAUAAUAUUUGAUGUAUUACUAAUGAAAUAAGUUUAUAACACACAAAAACCUCUUUAAUUUGAAUAAUUGUUCUUUUUGUACAGCUUCGGUGCUGUUAUGGUUACAGACUCUCUCUCCAUUUUUCUGAGAGUGAACACUGUCAUAAAGGGGACAAAACUCAUUUAAAAAAAGCCCAACCUACCCACGUUUGGAGUCUUUUGAGCUUACUAUAACAGUAAACCAGACCAAGCACAUGCCACAAACAUUUACUCAGCAAUGUUAGCCAACUAGUGGGUUAAUGUUGGACACUGAAUGCCUGUUGUAUCAUUUGAAUGUGUAGACACAAAGGACUAUGUAGACUUAAACCUGAGAAUUUAUAAUCUUUUCAUAUAAAAAUCAAAGCAUUUCCUGCUUAGAUAGUCAAAUUAUUAUGGCUGCUUUUAACUCUAGUAAGAAAUCUCACAAAAUUCUUCCCACUGAGGUAAUAUUUUGUAAUAUCCUAUCCUCCUUGUUGUUACUGUCACACUGGAGCAGUGGGUAUAAAUCUUCCCUUAACUUGAAAUUAUGUGCAUGUGUGUUCAUAAUAAAGCUAUUCCAUCUUGCCCCAGCAUAGUCCAGAAUGAAACAUUCCAGCACAGAGCACCUGUUCAAAUCUCUCAAACUGAUUCUGCACCGAUACAUCACUGCAAACAACUGUGCAACAGCCUGAUUUUCAGCUUUACAAAUUGGUUAAUUCCUCACACAAUAAACCUGCCAAUGUCAUUUGAGGGAAUAUUGCCCAAACAAAUGCACAACUGAGCUCAGUGAAUCUACAGCUUGGUGGCCAUAUGUUGUUAUGGCAAUAGUGGCUACCCACAAACAAAACAUGUAGCAGAGCAAUCCUGUUUUUGUUUUGUUUUUUCCUUCCCUGUUGUUCUUUCUAAUCUCUUAGUGCUCCUCGUGUGUCAGCGUUUCGCUUUCUGACUCCUGGAGGUCAGAUGAGUAGGAGGUCAAACGGACCGAUAUUAACACAAACACAAAAUAAGAUCUGGCUUCCUUGGAAAACAUCAAGGUCACGCAUGGUUUUCCAGGUAAAAUUUGAUGUGAGAUUGGUGACAAGGUAAUGUAGCAUAGUGGAAGAAAGUGAAAGUGAUAUGCUCAAUGAAGCUGUUUUUUUUUUUUUUUUUGCUGAAUUGGCAUUUUGUCUUUACUUUCCAGGCAUUUCUGUUUGUCAGUUUGAGAAAACAACACUUCUGCACGCUUCCAAAGGAGCCUACUAUCUUGGUUAGUUUAUUGAUACUUACAGGCAGUGUGUAUAUGCAGGGUGCACCAACAUGCUAUCUACCUGCAAGUAAUAAAAUAACAAACAAAAAAAAUGUCAUGCUAUCAAAUGAUAGUAAUCAAGGUAACGCAUGGUGCUGCUGGUAAAAAUCUGGAGACUUCGGAGGCUCCCACGCUGGUGCUUUGUUUUCAUAGAGCACUUAACAUGAAACAUGAUACAGGCCUCAAUAGGCCUACAUUUAAUAAUCAUAUGAUAAGAACCUCCAACAGGGUCUGUGAGCAAUGCCUAGUUCAGCCUUUUUUGUGUUUAUUUCAGUAGCUAUUGGGCAAUGCAUUGAGGGACUAUGAGAAUUCACUUAACAGGCUAACAAUAAGCUUCUGGAAUGGUCUUCACAAAGCCCCCAAAGUCUGUAGACUAUACUUAAAAGCCUGGUCUGAACCGGGACUUGCACCAGAAGCUUGUUGAUCGCUACCAAUAGCUUCCUGCAGAGAUGCAACUUGCUAAGUGACAUUUAAACAAAUAUUAGUACACUUUUGACUCCGUAUGGAUUUGAGAAAAUUCUAAAUCAAUUUAAAGUUGUGCGCAUAAUUCUUGUUUUUUAAAGUCAUAACUGUACAAACAGUUCAAAUAAAUUAUGAAAAGCCCAAAAUCUAAUAAAGACAAGAGAAGCCCCCUGAAAACAGCAAAAUUCUUUUGGUGUGUUGUAGAUCUCAAGCUGAGCAAGAACCAUAGUCAUUGCUCUCUAGACUUAUUCACAAGGAAGUUGCGGCCUGUCACGAUGUGAGUGAAGAAGUCCUCACAUGCUCAUGUCAUUCUGGAAAUGAGUAAAUGAUACUGAAAAUUGCAGCAAUUAUUGGCAACUUAAGGUCCACUUCUGAGCCCUAGGAGAAUUAGAGGAGAAAAUACAGACUCAGUCUUCAAAGGCAAUUAGUCUUCAUAUUGUAGUGUGUCCAUUCAGUGAGUGUUCUACCCACUCAUGGGACAGCACAUGUGGACAUGGCUAAUAGUCUCUGUUAAUGAGCCAAUCGUUCAUUAUCAAUCUUCUGGGAGGCACAGUGUGAGAGCGGCAUCCUGUUGACACAUUUAGAAGAAACGGCCACUGCAUGCCGUUCUCUACGUAUGCACAGCGCUGCGGUGCAAUUGUCGCUGAAGGCUGCGGAAGAGCAGCUUGAUUCCAUUUGUCCUUGUGGAGAUGGCUAAAUUGGACAGAUUUGCAUGCAAACGCACAAUACACACACAGUUUGAGUCCCAGCUUAUUCUGGAGGGGGGGAUUGGCCUUUUUGUCCCUGGCCACCUGGUCAAAAUACUAACAGCUGACUUGUUGCUGAGCCUUGCGAUGGCGAUAAAUCACAGCAGACCCCUCCCAAAUUUAUACGUACAAUUACACACAGCUCAGGGCCACAUCCCUUUUCUCGAACGCCAAGUCAAACACCAUCUAACUACGUUUUAUCCAAGAGUUUGCUUUUUUCUUUUGUUCUAAACAGAGAAAUUACUUCUGCUUUGUUUAUAAUGACGAUGCUUUGCUCUGUUAGCCCAGAGCUAAAGUCACUUGGACUGCUCUAGAGGAACAGUGGAAACAAAACUUUCCUUGUAAUUAUCAUUAAUGCUACCUGUAUCUUUGGAAAACCUCUUUUUACUUUUACAUAAAUGAAACCUUUUGACUAUUUUUCCCCACCCCAUUUACUUAAAUAUGCAGCUUGUUACUCUGCAUCUUGGUUUCCCCACACCGUCCCUGAUGUUAGCUAGAUGCAGUGGUUUCUACAAGCAACCCGCAGUAAUCCGAGCUCUUAAAAGCCCCGUACAUUCCACCCUCACUCAUUCAUUAUCACUUUGUCUACCGUCUUGACAGACUCCAUUUUUGCGGUAGUCCAACAUUCUCCAUUGACCUUACAAUGCUUGAUUAAGGGCAUUGGGCCUCUGGCGCCACUCUGUUUCCUCCAUGUUUAAUUAAAAGGUGAAGAAAGUCUUCUGUCUUGUGAUGAUGGCUUGAGUACAUGAUUCUUUCACUGCCAGCCCAAAAACCCCUCUCUCAUGUCUCCAGCCCCAGGCUUGAGCGUACGCACGUCCUUUCACUUAAGGCUAUUUUCCUAAGCCCCAAACUUUUUUUGACCUUCCGUAUUAUCGCUCCAUCUUUCAGUUUCCCUGUAAUAUAAGGAACUCCAUGAGAUUAUACAAGGAGACUUUCUCUUCCCAAUUUGUUUACUGACAAAAUGUCUUUCUUGUCGAGCAGGGAAGGAACCUAUCACCAUGCUCUAUAAUGUAAGUUACCUUGUCAAAGCCUGUUUAGAAUACAUCCUCAGAGGAGCCAUGCAGAGAGGAACACAGGGGUGCACUUAGUGUCAUUGCCGCUGGGGAGGGGGUUGUCGAGCGCUAGAGAAGCGAGGAGAGGGGUGCAGUUUCAUAUGUCUAUGGCAAUUAAUGCUUAUGUGACACAUUGAAAAAGGUCCCCUGGGACUGACAAAGCCAACAAAUUGACUUACUAUUUGAGCAGGAAGAUGUAGGAGGGGGGGGGAGAAAAAAAAGCAUGCAGCUUCAUCUUGUCAUAAUGAAUCUGGAAUCUAUUCCUGUCGGUGUUAUGAUUGCGGUUUAUUCCCUGUAUAUGCCAUAAAGUACAAGUGUGCUUACAGGGAUACCAUGUAGCUUUUGACAAGAUGGGGGUGGGGGCUGCCCUGAAGUAAUGACUUUAUCGUGUGAUUCUUGUAACUUACAUGACAAACAAAACGGUUACUUUGCUGCUUGCUAUAAACGUCUCUUUAGGGCCUGGAGCAAUGCAGGGACAGAGACAGAUGUUUCAUUUCAUGCCAUGUUUUCAAACUCUAACCCACACACAACACACAACACACAAAUAUUGCAUAUCUUAAAAUCCUCCACUCAGUCCUGAACGAUAAAUGAAUCUCACUUCAGUUCUUGUGCAGUACUGGAAUAGCCCUUCAGAUCAGGGAACCUGGUGUCCAUAAAGGUUCAGCCAGUGAUUUGGGCUUAUAGGGAGUGUUCAAAAUGACAGGAGUCAUUAGGUGGCCAAUUUGUUUUCUCAAGGGGUGCUGUGUUUGUGGCAUUCAGCUUUCCUCAGGGAAACAAGGCCAAUCAGCUUCUGCUUGUCAAGGACUACAAGGGCUGGUGACCUCUGACCCCUGCUGUGGCAGUGACUAAGUUUCAAUAAGAGGGCUACCCACACAUAGACUUUGUCACCCAAAUAGAGCAAAGCCUGCCCAAGAAUAUUUGGGAACUCAUUUUAGGAAACUCCGCCCUCCCUUUAUGGUUGUUUAGAAUAAAUAUCAAUGAAAACAAAUACAUAGCUAAAAAUAAGAACAGAUCUAAAAAUACUAACCAUACCGUUAUACAGAUGUGCAAGGUUGCUCUGAAGCACUGCACUUGUCUUGUGUGGUGGUGAUAUGUAUGUUUAUGCAUGAGUGUGUGUUGCUGUGUGUGAGUUUUGGUAUGGCGUGUGUGUGUGUGUGUUCAGUAUCAUAAUGGUUUGUGGAAAGAAACUGUUUCUGAGUCUGUUGGUACUGGUUUGGAUGGUCCUGUAGUGUCUCCUAGAGCAGCGGUCCCCACCGGUCCGUGAGUCGUUUGGUACCGGGCCGCGAGAGUUGAGGCUCAGGUGUAAAAUGUAUGGUUUUCAGGUUUUUUAUCAG